AGCCAUAAGAAGGUUUACUAUUAGAUUAAAAAAACAGAUACAAAUACACCUAAUGGAACAGUGGGGUCUGUGAAGCAACACAAACAUAGGCACAGACACAUGCAUAAACACACACACACAAGAUAACAUACGCACUAUACACACGCGUACACAUGUACUUUGUACUGUAGAUAUGUGGUAGAGGUGGAGUAGGGGCUUGAGGGCACACAGUGUGUUGUAGAUAUGUGGUAGUGGUGGAGAAGGGGCCUGAGGGCACACAGUGUGUUGUAGAUAUGUGGUAGUGGUGGAGUAGGGGCCUGAGGGCACACAGUGUGUUGUAGAUAUGUGGUAGAGGUGGAGCAGGGGCCUGAGGGCACACAGUGUGUUGUAGAUAUGUGGUAGUGGUGGAGUAGGGGCCUGAGGGCACACAGUGUGUUGUAGAUAUGUGGUAGAGGUGGAGAAGGGGCCUGAGGGCACACAGUGUGUUGUAGAUAUGUGGUAGAGGUGGAGUAGGGGCCUGAGGGCACACAGUGUGUUGUAGAUAUGUGGUAGUGGUGGAGAAGGGGCCUGAGGGCACACAGUGUGUUGUAGAUAUGUGGUAGUGGUGGAGAAGGGGCCUGAGGGCACACAGUGUGUUGUAGAUAUGUGGUAGAGGUGGAGUAGGGGCCUGAGGGCACACAGUGUGUUGUAGAUAUGUGGUAGUGGUGGAGUAGGGGCCUGAGGGCACACAGUGUGUUGUAGAUAUGUGGUAGUGGUGGAGUAGGGGCCUGAGGGCACACAGUGUGUUGUAGAUAUGUGGUAGUGGUGGAGUAGGGGCCUGAGGGCACACAGUGUGUUGUAGAUAUGUGGUAGAGGUGGA
Oncorhynchus tshawytscha (Chinook salmon) is the source of this 838-nucleotide long non-coding RNA. Lineage: Eukaryota; Metazoa; Chordata; Actinopteri; Salmoniformes; Salmonidae. The record is from Ensembl.